This 252-nucleotide ribosomal RNA is filed under the name uncultured bacterium. RNAcentral describes it as "partial 16S ribosomal RNA". It matches the Rfam family "Bacterial small subunit ribosomal RNA", at positions 524 to 776 of the family's 1533-position model. The record is from RNAcentral.
UACGUAGGUCCCGAGCGUUGUCCGGAUUUAUUGAGCGUAAAGCGAGCGCAGGUGGUUUAUUAAGUCUGGUGUAAAAGGCAGUGGCUCAACUAUUGUAUGCAUUGGAAACUGGUAGACUUGAGUGCAGGAGAGGAGAGUGGAAUUCCAUGUGUAGCGGUGAAAUGCGUAGAUAUAUGGAGGAACACCGGUGGCGAAAGCGGCUCUCUGGCCUGUAACUGACACUGAGGCUCGAAAGCGUGGGGAGCAAACAGG